Molecule: ribosomal RNA, 468 nt
Filed under: uncultured bacterium
Lineage: Bacteria
Description: partial 16S ribosomal RNA
Rfam family: Bacterial small subunit ribosomal RNA
Source: RNAcentral
GACGAACGCUGGCGGCGUGCUUAACACAUGCAAGUCGAACGGAAAGGCCCUGCUUUUGUGGGGUGCUCGAGUGGCGAACGGGUGAGUAACACGUGAGUAACCUGCCCUUGACUUUGGGAUAACUUCAGGAAACUGGGGCUAAUACCGGAUAGUAGCUCCUGCUGCAUGGUGGGGGUUGGAAAGUUUCGGCGGCUGGGGAUGGACUCGCGGCUUAUCAGCUUGUUGGUGGGGUAGUGGCUUACCAAGGCUUUGACGGGUAGCCGGCCUGAGAGGGUGACCGACCACAUUGGGACUGAGAUACGGCCCGGACUGCUACGGGAGGCAGGAAGGGGGAAUGUAGAACGCUGAGCGGAAGCCUGAUGCAGCAACGCCGGGUGCGGGAUGACGGCCUUCGGGUUGUAAGCCGCUUUCGCCUGUGACGAAGCGUGAGUGACGGUAGUGGGUGAAGAAGCACCGGCUAACUACGUG